RNAcentral lists this ribosomal RNA (252 nucleotides) under uncultured bacterium. Its description in RNAcentral is "partial 16S ribosomal RNA". It matches the Rfam family "Bacterial small subunit ribosomal RNA", at positions 524 to 776 of the family's 1533-position model. The record is from RNAcentral.
UACGUAGGGGGCAAGCGUUGUCCGGAUUUAUUGGGCGUAAAGAGCGUGUAGGCGGUUGGUAAGUCCGUUGUGAAAACUCGAGGCUCAACCUCGAGACGCCGAUGGAAACCAUCAGACUAGAGUCCGGAAGAGGAGAGUGGAAUUCCUGGUGUAGCGGUGGAAUGCGCAGAUAUCAGGAGGAACACCGAUGGCGAAGGCAGGUCUCUGGGCCAUUACUGACACUGAGAAGCGAAAGCAUGGGGAGCGAACAGG